Biomphalaria pfeifferi is the source of this 671-nucleotide non-coding RNA. The record is from the annotation of a GenBank genome assembly. Lineage: Eukaryota; Metazoa; Mollusca; Gastropoda; Planorbidae.
UUUUCAAAGAUUAGCUUUAUUUACAGUCUCACAACAUUCUUUAGACAUUUUGUCUAUAUUGAUUAAUGAAUAAUUAUAAACAAACGACUAGCAUGAGAAAAUUCUUCAGCUGUUGGAAGUACAACGAUUUUUUAUAUCAAUGACAUUUUCUCAUGCUGCUGGACUGGGUGGUAAAAACAGCUUUCCUACCUAUAAAUAAGGCUAGAGAUCAGAUCCUAAAUUCAGGUGAAUUGUGUUGGCUGAGCGCCUAAAGGCAGCACACAAACCUCCCAGAUACCACUGGUCCAUAGCGGACUAAGCAUGCUAUAAGCAUGAAAGUUGUAAAUAAAAAAGCAAUUUAAAAAUAAAGCUAAGAAAUAAUUUGACAUGGUUUAAGUAGACUUUAUUCUUUAAAGUUUUCAAUGUCUGAUAUAUAUAUAUAUAUUAGGUCCAAAUAGGAAGAAAAUUAUACUAUCUUGGACACAGCUUUAUUGAACCAGACAAUCAAAGCCUUAAUGCAAACAGCAAGACUGCCAUGAACAUUGUCUACCAUACAGCCAUCACCAAACACACCAAGAACUUUGUUUAGAGAAAGAAGGCAAAAAAAAAUUUUGUUAUGGUGCCCUAAUCAAAAUAUUUAAAAAUAAAAACAUUUGACCAUAAAAAAAAAAAAAAAAAAAAAAAAAAGAAAU